Non-coding RNA from Xyrichtys novacula (pearly razorfish), 5540 nucleotides. Lineage: Eukaryota; Metazoa; Chordata; Actinopteri; Labriformes; Labridae. The record is from the annotation of a GenBank genome assembly.
CUUCUGAGGAGAACAUGAGCAGUGAAGAUUCACCUUGGAGCUAGAACAGAGACAUGCACAUGAUUAUACAGGGGCAGGGGCUCAAGUUUUUUCCAGUCGUUUAUACAAUAUGGAAAUUAAUGUGAAAUUAAAACACAAAGUAUUAAUAGAAAGGUAAUGACUGUCCUGUGUAGGUGACAGUGAUAUCCAAUAGGCUAGGCACUCACGAGGCUGGCUGUGGCAAGUGUAAGUGAAAGCAACACGCACUGGCAGGAAGAACAGCAAACGCCGAUGAAGGAAAAGGGUCUUUGCAGUGAUGGGCGUUACCAGAGAGGGCGAUGGCCAGAGGACACAAAUGGGACGGGAAGGCAGCACGUUGGGGGGGGGGGGGGGGGGGGACACGGCUCGGGCCCGCCAGUGCCCCAACUGGGUCCUAGUUAGGGCCCGAGCGUAGCUGCUAAGCAGCUGCGAGAGCCCUAUUAUUCCUGAUGGAUUCUUCUUUCUUCUUCUUCUUCUUAUUAUUUUUCUGCCCCUUUGAACUGGAAAAUGGCCCACUUCCCACUGGUGAAAAGUCAUGAAAUUUGGCAGGACGACCGGGCCUGGUGAAAAAUUCGAUAUUCUGAAGUCGCCCAAAAAUCAAAUGCAAAAUGGCUCCAUAGCGCCCCCUAAGGUGAAAAAUUCACAUGAUUGAGUGUCACGCCUGUACGCUUUGUCAAAAUGACACAAAAUUUGACACACACGUGUAUCUCAAUAAGAUCUACAAAAAAGUCAGUGCGGGCGUAUCUGUCAAAUGUACGGUUAAAGGGCUAUUUCGCAUUUUUUGCCGAUCCGCACACAUUGGAAUUUCGCUAACUCCUCCGAAGGCUUUCGUUCCACCGGCACCAAAUUUGCUCAGGCCAAUCUACACCCCAUGGCCAUUAAAAGUUGUACAAAUCAUGACGCUGCAUCCCACGGUUUACGUUCUAGGGGGCGCCAAAGAUAACCCAGAAAUCCACAUUCUUAAAAGUCGUAUAACUUCUUAUUUUUGUCCUCACUGGCCUCCAAGUUUUCUAGGAUGAUGCAAUGUCCAGCCAUCAACACAUUUGUGAAGGAAUUUUUACUCCCCAAAAGAGCGCCCCCCCAUGGCAGGAGAAAAAAGUCCAUUUUUUCUUGUCUCCUAAGGCGAAAAUUCACACUAUUGACUGUCACGCCUUUACGCUUUGUCAUAUUGACACAAAAAUUGACACACACAUGUAUCUCAAUAAGAUCUACAAAAAAGUCAGUGCGGGCGUAUCUGUCAAAUGUACGGUGAAAGGGCUAUUUCGCAUUUUUUGCCGAUCCGCACACAUUGGAAUUUCGCUAACUCCUCCGAAGGCUUUCGUUCCAAAGGCACCACAUUUGCUGAGGCCAAUCUACACCCCAUGGCCAUUAAAAGUUGUACAAAUCAUGAUGCUGCACCCCACGGUUUAGGUUCUAGGGGGCGCCAAAGAUAACCCAAAAAUCCACAGUCUUAAAAGUCUUAUAACUUUUUAUUUUUGUCCUCACUGGCCUCCAAGUUCUCUAGGAUGAUGCAAUGUCCAGCCAUCAACACAUUUGUGAAGGAAUUUUUACUCGCCAAAAGAGCGCCCCCCCCAUGGCAGGAGAAAAAGUCAAGUUUUUCCUGCCCAUCGCUCAAUGGCUCAAACGCAUCGCUCUCUCGGCAAAACCGAAAGGAGGAGCAACUUGCCAUUUGGAUAUAUACUAGCUGUGUUUGUGCCCUCACUCAUGGUCCAGACUUUUUUCAAAAAGGACAUGGAGUUUGUCUGCAGCGAGCGUUUUGGUAGAAACUGCGCCUCCCAUUCAUUAUAAUGGUAAAUGACCACAGACAAGUGCGCACACCAUCUUUGGACCUUGAGUGUGACGCGAUCGGGAGGGGUAGGCGGUCGCGCUGGGGGCGGCACGACACGGCUCGGGCCCGCCAGUGCCCCAACGGGGCCCUAGUUAUUUUUCCUCCCCUUUGAACUGGAAAAUGGCCCACUUCCCACCCGCGAAAACUCAUGAAAAUUGGCAGGACGACCGGGCCUGGUGAAAAAUUUGAUAUUCCGAAGUCGCCCAAACAAGAAAAUGCAAAAUGGCUCCAUAGCGCCCCCUAAGGUGAAAAUUCACACUAUUGACUGUCACGCCUGUACGCUUUGUCAAAAUGACACAAAAAUUGACACACACAUGUAUCUCAGUAAGAUCUACAAAAAAGUCAGUGCGGGCGUAUCUGUCAAAUGUACGGUUAAAGGGUUAUUUCGCAUUUUUUGCCGAUCCGCACACAUUGGAAUUUCGCUAACUCCUCCGAAGGCUUUCGUUCCACCGGCACCACAUUUGCUCAGGCCAAUCUACACCCCAUGGCCAUUAAAAGUUAUUCAAAUCAUGACGCUGCACCCCAAGCUUUAGGUUCUAGGGGGCGCCAAAGAUAACCCUAAGAUCCACAUAUUUAAAAGUCUUAUAACUUUUUAUUUUUGCCCUCACUGGCCUCCAAGUUUUCUAGGAUGAUGCAAUGUCCAGCCAUCAACACAUUUGUGAAGGAAUUUUUACUCCCCAAAAGAGCGCCACCCCAUGGCAGGAGAAAAAAGUCAAUUUUUUCUUGUCCCCUAAGGUGAAAAUACACAUUGUUGAGUGUAACACCUGUACGCUUUGUCAAAAUGACACAAAAAUUGACACAAACAUGUAUCUCAAUAAGAUCUACGAAAAAGUCAAUGCGCGCGUAUCUGUCAAAUGUACGGUUAAAGGGUUAUUCCGCAUUUUUUGCCGAUCCGCACACAUUGGAAUUUCGCUAACUACUCCGAAGGCUUUCGUUCCACCGGCACCACAUUUGCUCAGGCCAAUCUACACCCCAUGGCCAUUAAAAGUUAUUCAAAUCAUGACGCUGCAUCCCACGGUUUAGGUUCUAGGGGGCGCCAAAGAUAACCCUAAAAUCCACAUAUUUCAAAGUCUUAUAACUUUUUAUUUUUGUCCUCACUGGCCUCCAAGUUUUCUAGGAUGAUGCAAUGUCCAGCCAUCAACACAUUUGUGAAGGAAUUUUUACUCCCCAAAAGAGCGCCCCCCCAUGGCAGGAGAAAAAAGUCAAUUUUUUCUUGUCCCCUAAGGUGGAAAUUCACACUAUUGACUGUCACGCCUGUACGCUUUAUCAUAUUGACACAAAAAUUGACACACAUAUGUAUCUCAAUAAGAUCUACAAAAAAGUCAAUUCGCGCGUAUCUGUCAAAUGUACGGUUAAAGGGCUAUUUUGCAUUUUUUGCCGAUUCGCACACAUUGGAAUGUGGCUAACUCCUCCUAAGGCUUUCGUCCCACUGACACCAAAUUUGCUCAGGCCAAUCUACACCCCAUGGCCAUUCAAAGUUGUAAAAAUCAUGACGCUGCACCCCACGGUUUACGUUCUAGGGGGCGCCAAAGAUGACCCAAAAAUCCACAUUCUUAAAAGAAUCCACAUCCCCCCCCCCAUGGCAGGAGAAAAAGUCAAGUUUUUCCUGCCCAUCGCUCAAUGGCUCAAUCGCAUCGCUCUCCAGGCAACACCGUAAGGAGGAGCAACCUGGCAUUUCGAUUUAUCAUAGCUGUGUUUGUGCCCUCACUCAUGGUCCAGACUUUUUUCAAAUAGGACAUGAAGUUUGUCUGCAGCGAGUGUUUUGGUAGAAACUGCGCCUCCCAUUCAUUAUAAUGGGAAAUGACCACAGACAAGUGCGCACACCAUCUUUGGUUCUUGAGUGUGACUCGAUCGGGACGGGGAGGCGGUCGCACUGGGGGCGGCGCGACGCGGCUCGGGCCCGACAGUGCCCCACCGGGGCCCUAGUUCUUUCUUAGGGCCCGAGCGUAGCUGCUAAGCAGCUGCGAGAGCCCUAUUAUUCCUGAUGGAUUCUUCUUUAGGGCCCGAGCGUAGCUGCUAAGCAGCUGCGAGAGCCCUCUUGUUCCUGCAUGUUUCCUUCUUUCGUUAUUAUUUUUCCUCCGCUUUAAACUGGAAAAUGGCCCACUUCCCACUGGCGAAAACUCAGGAAAUUUGGCAGGAUGACCGGGCCUGGUGAAAAAUUCGAUAUUCUGAAGACGCCCAAACAAUAAAAUGCAAAAUGGCUCCAUAGCGCCCCCUAAGGUGAAAAUUAACAUGAUGGCUGUACGCUUUGUCAUAUUGACACAAAAAUUGACACACACAUGUAUCUCAAUAAGAUCUACAAAAAAGUCAGUGCGGGCGUGUCUGUCAAAUGUACGGUUAAUGGGUUAUUUUGCAUUUUUUGCAGAUCUGCACACAUUGGAAUUUCGCUAACUCCUCCGAAGGCUUUCGUUCGACCGGCACCACAUUUGCGCAGGCCAAUCUACCCCCCAUGGCCAUUAAAAGUUGUACAAAUCAUGACGCUGCACCCCACGGUUUAGGUUCUAGGGGGCGCCAAAGAUAACCCUAAAAUCCACAUAUUUAAAAGUCUUAUAACUUUUUAUUUUUGUCCUCACUGGCCUCCAAGUUUUCUAGGAUGAUGCAAUGUCCAGCCAUCAACACAUUUGUGAAGGAAUUUUUACUCCCCAAAAGAGCGCCCCCCAAUGGCAGGAGAAAAAGGUCCAUUUUUUCUUGUCUCCUAAGGUGAAAAUACACAUUGUUGAGUGUCACGCCUGUAUGCUUUGUCAUAUUGACACAAAAUUUGACAAUCACGUGUAUCUCAAUAAGAUCUACGAAAAAGUCAAAGGGCAUGUAUCUGUCAAAUGUACGGUUAAAGGGCUAUUUUGCAUUUUUUGCCGAUCCGCACACAUUGGAAUUUCGGUAACUCCUCCGAAGGCUAUCUUUCCACCGGCACCAAAUUUGCUCAGGCCAAUCUACACCCCAUGGCCAUUAAAAGUUGUACAAAUCAUCUUGCUGCACCCCACGGUUUGGGUUCUAGGGGGCACCAAAUAUAACCCAAAAAUCCACAUUCUUAAAAGUCUUAAAACUUUUUAUUUUUUUCCAUACUGGCCUCCAAGUUUUUUAGGAUGAUGCAAUGUCCAGCAAUUAACACAUUUGUGAAGGAAUUUUUACUCGCCAAAAGAGCGCCCCCCCAUGGCAGGAGAAAAAAGUCCAUUUUUUCUUGUCCCCUAAGGCGAAAAUACACAUUGUUGAGUGUCACGCCUGUACGCUUUGUCAUAUUGACACAAAAUUUGACAAUCAAGUGUAUCUCAAUAAGAUCUACGAAAAAGUCAAUGUGCGCGUAUCUGCAAAAUGUAUGGUUAAAGGGCUAUUUCGCAUUUUUUGCCGAUUCGCACACAUUGGAAUGUGGCUAACUCCUCCUAAAGCUUUCAUCCCAAUGGCACCAAAUUUGCUCAGGCCAAUCUACACCCCAUGGCCAUUAAAAGUUGUAAAAAUCAUGAUGCUGCACCCCACGGUUUACGUUCUAGGGGGCGCCAAAGAUAACCCAAAAAUCCACAUUUUCAAAAGUCUUAUAACUUUUUAUUUUUGUCCUCACUGGCCUCCAAGUUUUCUAGGAUAAUGCAAUGUUCAGCCAUCAACACAAUUGUGAAGGAAUUUUUACUCCCCAAAAGAGCGCCCCCCCAUGGCCAGAGAAAAAGUCAAGUUGUUCCUGCCCAUCGCUCAAUGGCUUAAACGC